GGAUGAGCCCGCGGCCUAUCAGCUUGUUGGUGGGGUGAUGGCCUACCAAGGCUUUGACGGGUAACCGGUCUGAGAGGAUGUACGGUCAGAGGGGCACUGAGACACGGGCCUCACUCCUACGGGAGGCAGCAAUCGGGAAUCUUGCGCAAUGGACGAAAGCCUGACGGAGCAACGCCGCGUGUGGGAUGAAGUAUUUCGGUAUGUAAACCACUGUCGGAGGGGAAGACCAAGACGGUACCCUCCAAGAAAGCCCCGGCUAACUACGUGCCAGCAGCCGCGGCCG
Molecule: ribosomal RNA, 283 nt
Filed under: uncultured actinomycete
Lineage: Bacteria; Bacillati; Actinomycetota; Actinomycetes; Actinomycetales
Description: partial 16S ribosomal RNA
Rfam family: Bacterial small subunit ribosomal RNA
Source: RNAcentral